GACCGUCCUCUCCGAAUGGUACGUCAGAGCGUAGUACAGUGAGAGGUAGCGGUCAACAGUGAUAGCCAGCAAGCUGCAGACAGAGGCAGAGAAAGAGGCGACAAUGAGGCCGAUCGUGACCAGCUUGGUGGCUUCUGACUGAAGCAGGUGUCUCCCAUUGACUGAACCCAACUGGAAGCCACAAGGCGGGGAAGCCUGGGUAGUACCCUCCCCAGAGAUAAAAAGCUGCUGUGUCUCACUGAUACAAACAUCUGUGACACCACAGAAGGUCACCCCUUCAGAUACAGGCAGGAUAUGAACUAUGGAAACUUUGAGGUAAGACUAAUUAUUUAACUUGUUGAAUCCUCCCUGUUGGCAUAAAUGCAAUUGAUUCUUGCAU
This is a long non-coding RNA of Pan troglodytes (chimpanzee), 379 nucleotides long. RefSeq lists it as uncharacterized. Lineage: Eukaryota; Metazoa; Chordata; Mammalia; Primates; Hominidae. The record is from RefSeq and is a predicted model, not a curated record. The transcript is spliced from 3 exons.